Molecule: transfer RNA, 70 nt
Filed under: Rattus norvegicus (Norway rat)
Lineage: Eukaryota; Metazoa; Chordata; Mammalia; Rodentia; Muridae
Rfam family: tRNA
About the family: Transfer RNA (tRNA) molecules are approximately 80 nucleotides in length. Their secondary structure includes four short double-helical elements and three loops (D, anti-codon, and T loops).
Source: Rfam by way of RNAcentral
GGGGAUUUAGCUCAGUGGUUAGAGCGCUUGCCUAGCAAGCACAAGGCCCUGGGUUCGGUCCCCAGCUCCA